Non-coding RNA from Cervus elaphus (red deer), 369 nucleotides. NCBI's taxonomy places the organism in Eukaryota, Metazoa, Chordata, Mammalia, Artiodactyla, Cervidae. The record is from the annotation of a RefSeq genome assembly.
AUGGACUUCGGGCAGCUCUGUGGUGUGGUCCUCUGUCUCCUGGGCAUAGCCAUCUCUGCAGACCCUGGGAUCACUCAGAUACCAAAAUACCUAGUCAUGGGAAUGAUGGACAAGAAAUCUUUGAAAUGUGAACAACAUCUAGGACAUGAUGCUAUGUACUGGUAUAAACAGAGUGCCCAGAAGCCGCCAGAGCUCAUGUUCAUCUACGACUACAAGGAACUCGCUGAAAAUGCGAGUGUUCCAAGUCGCUUCCAGCCUAGAUGCCCAGAGAGCUCCCAGUGCCUCCUGGACCUGAACGCCCUGAAACCACAGGACUCUGCCGUGUAUCUCUGCGCCAGCAAUCUUCACAUCCUGCCAUAUCAGCCAUAG